This 789-nucleotide ribosomal RNA is filed under the name uncultured Thermoplasmata archaeon. Its description in RNAcentral is "bacterial SSU rRNA". It matches the Rfam family "Archaeal small subunit ribosomal RNA", at positions 561 to 1357 of the family's 1478-position model. Lineage: Archaea; Methanobacteriati; Thermoplasmatota; Thermoplasmata. The record is from RNAcentral.
AACUAUACGAAUUCCUGGUAACUGCAGGACUUGAGAUCGGGAGAAGCUAGAGGUACUCCUGGGGUAAGGUGAAAUUCUGUAAUCCUAGGGGACCACCAGUGGCGAAGCGUCUACUAGAACGAGUCUGACGGUCUGGGACGAAGCCCUGGGGCGCAAACGGGAUUAGAUACCCCGGUAGUCCAGGGUGUAAACGCUGCUCGCUUGAUGUUAGCUGGGCUCCGAGCCCAGCUAGUGUCGGAGAGAAGUUGUUAAGCGAGCUGCCUGGGGAGUACGGUCGCAAGACUGAAACUUAAAGGAAUUGGCGGGGGAGCACCGCAACGGGAGGAGCGUGCGGUUUAAUUGGAUUCAACGCCGGAAACCUCACCGGGGGCGACGGUUACAUGAAGGCCAGGCUGAUGACCUUGCCAGAUUUUCCGAGAGGUGGUGCAUGGCCGUCGUCAGUUCGUACCGUAAGGCGUUCUGUUAAGUCAGAUAACGAACGAGACCCUCAUCGCUAGUUGCUACUGGUAACUCCGGUUAUCAGGCCCACUAACGAAAACCGCUGGCGAUAAGUCAGAGGAAGGCGAGGGCAACGGUAGGUCAGUAUGCCCUGAAUCCCCCGGGCUACACGCGCGCUACAAAGGCUAGGACAAUGGGCUCCGACACCGAAAGGUGAAGGUAAUCCCGAAAGCUACCGUAAUUCGGAUUGAGGGUUGCAACUCACCCUCAUGAAGGUGGAUUCCGUAGUAAUCGCGGAUCAACCAUUCCGGGUGAAUAUGCCCCUGCUCCUUGCACUCACCGGCCGUCCAG